AACGAACGCUGGCGGCAUGCCUAACACAUGCAAGUCGAACGAGACCUUCGGGUCUAGUGGCGCACGGGUGCGUAACGCGUGGGAACCUGCCCUUAGGUUCGGAAUAACUCCCCGAAAGGGGUGCUAAUACCGGAUAAUGUCUUCGGACCAAAGAUUUAUCGCCUUUGGAUGGGCCCGCGUUGGAUUAGCUAGUUGGUAGGGUAAAAGCCUACCAAGGCGACGAUCCAUAGCUGGUCUGAGAGGAUGAUCAGCCACACUGGGACUGAGACACGGCCCAGACUCCUACGGGAGGCAGCAGUGGGGAAUAUUGGACAAUGGGCGAAAGCCUGUUUCAGCAAUGCCGCGUGAGUGAUGAAGGCCUUAGGGUUGUAAAGCUCUUUUACCCGGGAUGAUAAUGACAGUACCGGGAGAAUAAGCUCCGGCUAACUCCGUG
This 433-nucleotide ribosomal RNA is filed under the name uncultured bacterium. RNAcentral describes it as "partial 16S ribosomal RNA". It matches the Rfam family "Bacterial small subunit ribosomal RNA", at positions 29 to 507 of the family's 1533-position model. The record is from RNAcentral.